RNAcentral lists this long non-coding RNA (1312 nucleotides) under Callithrix jacchus (white-tufted-ear marmoset). RNAcentral describes it as "lncRNA (ENSCJAG00000082955.1)". Lineage: Eukaryota; Metazoa; Chordata; Mammalia; Primates; Cebidae. The record is from RNAcentral.
UCAUUUAUUUCUUAUGUUUUGCAGCUAAGACGGACCAUGAGAAAUCCUGGGAGCUCAGGAAGGAAGAAGCCUCCUAGAAGAAAAGACAGGGAGCUGGUGGGGAAGACUAGAAGUCAGGUUAAUAUGGCUGCAGCACAGCAUCAUCAUUUCUCAGGAUUGCCCUACUCACCCUACAUCAUGGUUGACUCUUCAAGACCACUGAUGGGUUCCUGGCCACCUCCUCCAUCAGGCUGUCUGUCACCUGGGAGCUCAACCAUUCCCAUCAGCUAAAGGUAUUCUGAGACCUCUGACAACUCCUCGACUCCAGUGUCCACUAGGACCUUAGCCACCUUCUUCAGAUGAUAAUUUUUGGGGACCACAGACACCUACACAUGAAUGUCUUCUGGCACCUCUACUACCUUCCUCAGCCAAUGGUUUUCUGAGCUCAUACACAAAGCCACCCGAAUGCUUCUGGUACCUCUGCCACCUUCUCCAGAUGAUGAGUUCUUGAGACCACAGACACCAAUACAUGAGUGUCUUCUGUGACCUCUGCCACCUUUAGCCAAUGAUUUUCUGAGCCCAUACACAGCUCCACCCAAGUAUCUUCUGGCACCUUUACCACCUUCUCCAGAUGAUAAUCUUUAGAGACCACAGACACCACCACUCCAGUGUCUUCUGGUACUGAUGCCAUCAUCUCCAGCUGAUGAUUUUCUGAGACCACACACAUCUUCUAUCCAGUGUCCUCUGGGAUCUCAACCACUUUCUCCAACUGAUAAUUUUUUGAGAUUACAGGUAGCUCCACUUUUUGAGUGUCCCCUGGGACCUCAACUACCUAUUUCAAUAGAGUGUCUUCUGGUAUCUCUUCACCUUCUUGAUGAUUUUUUGUGACCACAGACACUUGCACCUGAGUGUACACUAGUACCUCUACCACUGUCUCCAUCUGAGGAUGUUCUAAGACCUCACACAACUCCACUUGAGUGUUCUCUGAUAUCUUUACCACCACCUCCAGCUGAAGAUUUUCUGAGACCACACACAACUCCACCCAAGUUAAAUCCGUUACCUGUAUCAUCUUGUUCAGCUAAUGAUUUUCUGAGACCACAGGCAACUCCACCACUUUAAAGUUUUCUGUCACCUCAACCUCCUAUUUCACUCAUGUGUCCUCUGGGACUUCAGCCACCUACUUCACUCGAGGGUCCUGUGCCACCUUAACCACCUUCUCCAAGUGAAGAUUCUCUGAGACCAGUCACCUCCUCCAGUCAAGUGCUCUCUGGUACCUCCACCAUCUUAUCCAGCUGGUGGUCUUCUGAAACUGCAGACACCUCCAGCAAUCAAG